GGAUAACCCUCGGAAACGGGGGCUAAUACCGAAUAGGACUUCCGGCCGCAUGGCUGGGGGUGGAAAGUUUUUCGGCCUGGGAUGGGCUCGCGGCCUAUCAGCUUGUUGGUGGGGUGAUGGCCUACCAAGGCGACGACGGGUAGCCGGCCUGAGAGGGCGACCGGCCACACUGGGACUGAGACACGGCCCAGACUCCUACGGGAGGCAGCAGUGGGGAAUAUUGCACAAUGGGCGGAAGCCUGAUGCAGCGACGCCGCGUGAGGGAUGACGGCCUUCGGGUUGUAAACCUCUUUCAGCAGGGACGAAGCGCAAGUGACGGUACCUGCAGAAGAAGCGCCGGCCAACUACGUGCCAGCAGCCGCGGUAAGACGUAGGGCGCGAGCGUUGUCCGGAUUUAUUGGGCGUAAAGAGCUCGUAGGCGGCUUGUCGCGUCGACUGUGAAAACCCGCAGCUCAACUGCGGGCCUGCAGUCGAUACGGGCAGGCUAGAGUUCGGUAGGGGAGACUGGAAUUCCUGGUGUAGCGGUGAAAUGCGCAGAUAUCAGGAGGAACACCGGUGGCGAAGGCGGGUCUCUGGGCCGAUACUGACGCUGAGGAGCGAAAGCGUGGGGAGCGAACAGGAUUAGAUACCCUGGUAGUCCACGCUGUAAACGUUGGGCGCUAGGUGUGGGGGGCCUCUCCGGUUCCCUGUGCCGCAGCUAACGCAUUAAGCGCCCCGCCUGGGGAGUACGGCCGCAAGGCUAAAACUCAAA
This 751-nucleotide ribosomal RNA is filed under the name Micromonospora equina. RNAcentral describes it as "bacterial SSU rRNA". It matches the Rfam family "Bacterial small subunit ribosomal RNA", at positions 141 to 905 of the family's 1533-position model. Lineage: Bacteria; Bacillati; Actinomycetota; Actinomycetes; Micromonosporales; Micromonosporaceae. The record is from RNAcentral.